Molecule: ribosomal RNA, 465 nt
Filed under: Vreelandella stevensii
Lineage: Bacteria; Pseudomonadati; Pseudomonadota; Gammaproteobacteria; Oceanospirillales; Halomonadaceae
Description: partial 16S ribosomal RNA
Rfam family: Bacterial small subunit ribosomal RNA
Source: RNAcentral
CCUACGGGUGGCUGCAGUGGGGAAUAUUGGACAAUGGGGGGAACCCUGAUCCAGCCAUGCCGCGUGUGUGAAGAAGGCCCUCGGGUUGUAAAGCACUUUCAGUGAGGAAGAACGCCUGGUGGUUAAUACCCAUCAGGAAAGACAUCACUCACAGAAGAAGCACCGGCUAACUCCGUGCCAGCAGCCGCGGUAAUACGGAGGGUGCGAGCGUUAAUCGGAAUUACUGGGCGUAAAGCGCGCGUAGGUGGCUUGAUAAGCCGGUUGUGAAAGCCCCGGGCUCAACCUGGGAACGGCAUCCAGAACUGUCAAGCUAGAGUGCAGGAGAGGAAGGUAGAAUUCCCGGUGUAGCGGUGAAAUGCGUAGAGAUCGGGAGGAAUACCAGUGGCGAAGGCGGCCUUCUGGACUGACACUGACACUGAGGUGCGAAAGCGUGGGUAGCAAACAGGAUUAGAUACCCGAGUAGUC